GAUUGUAUUCCAGGACUGUUUGGUGGUCAGGAGGAAGCAUGCCGGCCCCUUAAGAUGCCAUCCUGGCCAUCUGACACAGCUGUUCCAGGAGGUGACACAGGCCACUGCGUCCCUUUUGACAUAGGGACUCACAAAUCCCUGAAAAUCUCGCUCUGUCCUGGGUUGCAGUGGCCAGGAAGGGUUGACAUCGUGCCACUGACACCACCACUGCCUCUCCCUUACUGAAAUGAAGUAAUCAGUAGCGGCAUAAAGAAAGGAGGAGCUGCUCCCUGCUGCCCCCUGCAGCCCAACGUCAAGUCCGAAGGCCUGCAUGAUUCCGGAACACUAGACCAGGGACCAAGAGACAAUUCAGGCUCCUUGUCCAGAAAAACAAAACAAAACAACACCACCGCAACAAAAAGUGACCAACUGAAAGUGAAACCGACACAUCAACAGACGUUUGAUCAUCCUACCCUAAAGAAACUCUGGCUAAUUUGAGUGAGUUCUGAGUCUGUUUUGCAGUAGGUGACCAAGCAGGGAUGAGACUAGCUAAGACUGGAGCUAACGGAGAAGAAUUCUUGCAGCUGCGUGGAGGGGACCAAGAGUGAACGAGAGUAACCUCUGUGACAACACACCCCGAGAUCUCUCCCCGUUCAUCAUGCUUCUGCCACCAUUUUCUGAAUGUGUGUCCCAUGAAGAGGCAUGACUCUCGAAUGCACAUGCUCAGAAAGGAGGACACCUCCCUUUGUCCCUGUGUGCAAUCAGGAUAUUCCAUUCAACCUUACAUACGCCUUGGCACCCUGACCUGCUAUACAACGAACCCCAGCCGUUUGGGAAGGUGGAUUUGAGAAAUGUUUUCCUGUCUCCUUGCUUGACGCCCUGCAAUAAAAUCCAUUUUGCCCUCCUCAAA
This is a long non-coding RNA of Neogale vison (American mink), 889 nucleotides long. RefSeq lists it as uncharacterized. NCBI's taxonomy places the organism in Eukaryota, Metazoa, Chordata, Mammalia, Carnivora, Mustelidae. The transcript has 2 exons. The record is from RefSeq and is a predicted model, not a curated record.